Molecule: ribosomal RNA, 495 nt
Filed under: uncultured bacterium
Lineage: Bacteria
Description: partial 16S ribosomal RNA
Rfam family: Bacterial small subunit ribosomal RNA
Source: RNAcentral
GAUGAACGCUGGCGGCGUGCCUAAUACAUGCAAGUCGAGCGAACAGACGAGGAGCUUGCUCCUCUGACGUUAGCGGCGGACGGGUGAGUAACACGUGGAUAACCUACCUAUAAGACUGGGAUAACUUCGGGAAACCGGAGCUAAUACCGGAUAAUAUAUUGAACCGCAUGGUUCAAUAGUGAAAGACGGUUUUGCUGUCACUUAUAGAUGGAUCCGCGCCGCAUUAGCUAGUUGGUAAGGUAACGGCUUACCAAGGCAACGAUGCGUAGCCGACCUGAGAGGGUGAUCGGCCACACUGGAACUGAGACACGGUCCAGACUCCUACGGGAGGCAGCAGUAGGGAAUCUUCCGCAAUGGGCGAAAGCUUGACGGAGCAACGCCGCGUGAGUGAUGAAGGUCUUCGGAUCGUAAAACUCUGUUAUUAGGGAAGAACAAAUGUGUAAGUAACUAGGCACGUCGUGACGGUACCUAAUCAGAAAGCCACGGCUAACUACG